GGUAUGGCUCAGUGGUAGAGCACUUGCCUAACAUGCAUGAGGCCCUGAGGUCAAUCCCCAGAACCA
RNAcentral lists this transfer RNA (66 nucleotides) under Heterocephalus glaber (naked mole-rat). It matches the Rfam family "tRNA". From Rfam's summary of the family: Transfer RNA (tRNA) molecules are approximately 80 nucleotides in length. Lineage: Eukaryota; Metazoa; Chordata; Mammalia; Rodentia; Bathyergidae. The record is from Rfam by way of RNAcentral.